UGGGGAAUAUUGGACAAUGGGCGAAAGCCUGAUCCAGCCAUGCCGCGUGUGUGAAGAAGGCCUUUUGGUUGUAAAGCACUUUAAGCGAGGAGGAGGCUACCGAGAUUAAUACUCUUGGAUAGUGGACGUUACUCGCAGAAUAAGCACCGGCUAACUCUGUGCCAGCAGCCGCGGUAAUACAGAGGGUGCGAGCGUUAAUCGGAUUUACUGGGCGUAAAGCGUGCGUAGGCGGCUUUUUAAGUCGGAUGUGAAAUCCCUGAGCUUAACUUAGGAAUUGCAUUCAAUACUGGGAAGCUAGAGUAUGGGAGAGGAUGGUAGAAUUCCAGGUGUAGCGGUGAAAUGCGUAGAGAUCUGGAGGAAUACCGAUGACGAAGGCAGCCAUCUGGCCUAAUACUGACGCUGAGGUACGAAAGCAUGGGGAGCAAACAGG
This 430-nucleotide ribosomal RNA is filed under the name Bacillota bacterium. RNAcentral's name for it is "Firmicutes bacterium partial 16S ribosomal RNA". It matches the Rfam family "Bacterial small subunit ribosomal RNA", at positions 355 to 776 of the family's 1533-position model. The record is from RNAcentral. Lineage: Bacteria; Bacillati; Bacillota.